RNAcentral lists this ribosomal RNA (515 nucleotides) under uncultured bacterium. Its description in RNAcentral is "partial 16S ribosomal RNA". It matches the Rfam family "Bacterial small subunit ribosomal RNA", at positions 28 to 523 of the family's 1533-position model. The record is from RNAcentral.
GAUGAACGCUGGCGGCGUGCCUAAUACAUGCAAGUCGAGCGAAUGGAUUAAGAGCUUGCUCUUAUGAAGUUAGCGGCGGACGGGUGAGUAACACGUGGGUAACCUGCCCAUAAGACUGGGAUAACUCCGGGAAACCGGGGCUAAUACCGGAUAACAUUUUGAACCGCAUGGUUCGAAAUUGAAAGGCGGCUUCGGCUGUCACUUAUGGAUGGACCCGCGUCGCAUUAGCUAGUUGGUGAGGUAACGGCUCACCAAGGCGACGAUGCGUGGCCGACCUGAGAGGGUGAUCGGCCACACUGGGACUGAGACACGGCCCAGACUCCUACGGGAGGCAGCAGUAGGGAACCUUCCGCAAUGGACGAAAGUCUGACGGAGCAACGCCGCGUGAGUGAUGAAGGCUUUCGGGUCGUAAAACUCUGUUGUUAGGGAAGAACAAGUGCUAGUUGAAUAAGCUGGCACCUUGACGGUACCUAACCAGAAAGCCACGGCUAACUACGUGCCAGCAGCCGCAGUAA